This 497-nucleotide ribosomal RNA is filed under the name uncultured bacterium. Its description in RNAcentral is "partial 16S ribosomal RNA". It matches the Rfam family "Bacterial small subunit ribosomal RNA", at positions 28 to 507 of the family's 1533-position model. The record is from RNAcentral.
GAUGAACGCUGGCGGCGUGCCUAAUACAUGCAAGUCGAGCGAACAGACGAGGAGCUUGCUCCUCUGACGUUAGCGGCGGACGGGUGAGUAACACGUGGAUAACCUACAUAUAAGACUGGGAUAACUUCGGGAAACCGGAGCCAAUACCGGAUAAUAUAUUGAACCGCAUGGUUCAAUAGUGAAAGACGGGUUUGCUGUCACUUAUAGAUGGAUCCGCGCCGCAUUAGCUAGUUGGUAAGGUAACGGCUUACCAAGGCAACGAUGCGUAGCCGACCUGAGAGGGUGAUCGGCCACACUGGAACUGAGACACGGUCCAGACUCCUACGGGAGGCAGCAGUAGGGAAUCUUCCGCAAUGGGCGAAAGCCUGACGGAGCAACGCCGCGUGGGUGAUGAAGGUCUUCGGAUCGUAAAACUCUGUUAUUAGGGAAGAACAAAUGUGUAAGUAACUAUGCACGUCUUGACGGUACCUAAUCAGAAAGCCACGGCUAACUACGUG